Molecule: transfer RNA, 62 nt
Filed under: Escherichia coli
Lineage: Bacteria; Pseudomonadati; Pseudomonadota; Gammaproteobacteria; Enterobacterales; Enterobacteriaceae
Also listed under: 2 other names
Description: tRNA-Ser
Rfam family: tRNA
About the family: Transfer RNA (tRNA) molecules are approximately 80 nucleotides in length. Their secondary structure includes four short double-helical elements and three loops (D, anti-codon, and T loops).
Source: RNAcentral
GUUGGUAGAGCACGACCUUGCCAAGGUCGGGGUCGCGAGUUCGAGUCUCGUUUCCCGCUCCA